GAUGAAGAACGUAGCGAAAUGCGAUAAGUAAUGUGAAUUGCAGAAUUCAGUGAAUCAUCGAAUCUUUGAACGCACCUUGCGCUCCUUGGUAUUCCGAGGAGCAUGCCUGUUUGAGUGUCAUGAAAUUCUCAACCUUUUCAGCUUUCUUUGUUGUUCAGGCUUGGAUGUGGGAGUAUGCGGGCUUCUCAGAAGUCGGCUCUCCUGAAAUGCAUUAGCGGGACCUUUGUUGCCUGGCUUUGGUGUGAUAAUUAUCUACGCCAUUGUAGUCAAGCAGCUUAAAAUGAGGUUUCAGCUUCUAACCGUCUCCCCUGAGACAACUUUUUGACAAUUUGACCUCAAAUCAGGUAGGACUACCCGCUGAACUUAAGCAUAUCAAUAAGCGGAGGA
Molecule: unclassified non-coding RNA, 387 nt
Filed under: soil metagenome
Description: partial contains 5.8S ribosomal RNA, internal transcribed spacer 2, and large subunit ribosomal RNA
Rfam family: 5.8S ribosomal RNA (bases 1-120)
Source: RNAcentral